GGGUGGUUAGCUCAGUGGAAGAGCACUUGGUUUACACCCAAGGUGUCACAGGUUCGAACCCUGUACCGCCCA
Molecule: transfer RNA, 72 nt
Filed under: Candidatus Auribacterota bacterium
Lineage: Bacteria; Pseudomonadati; Candidatus Auribacterota
Description: tRNA-Val
Rfam family: tRNA
About the family: Transfer RNA (tRNA) molecules are approximately 80 nucleotides in length. Their secondary structure includes four short double-helical elements and three loops (D, anti-codon, and T loops).
Source: RNAcentral